Molecule: non-coding RNA, 131 nt
Organism: Triticum aestivum (bread wheat)
Lineage: Eukaryota; Viridiplantae; Streptophyta; Magnoliopsida; Poales; Poaceae
Source: Rfam
CUGGUACUCCCUCUGAAAAUACUUGUCAUUAAAAUAAAUAAAAGGGGAUAUAUCUAGAUUUAUUUUAGUUUUAGAUACAUCUCUUUUUGUUUAUUUUGAUAACUAGUAUUUUCGGACGGAUGGAGUAGGAG